Molecule: transfer RNA, 75 nt
Filed under: Candidatus Babelota bacterium
Lineage: Bacteria
Also listed under: 1 other name
Description: tRNA-Thr
Rfam family: tRNA
About the family: Transfer RNA (tRNA) molecules are approximately 80 nucleotides in length. Their secondary structure includes four short double-helical elements and three loops (D, anti-codon, and T loops).
Source: RNAcentral
GCUGGCGUAGCUCAAUGGUAGAGCAACUGAUUUGUAAUCAGUAGGUUGCAGGUUCAACUCCAGUCGCCAGCUCCA